This 588-nucleotide ribosomal RNA is filed under the name Salmonella enterica subsp. enterica serovar Anatum. RNAcentral's name for it is "partial 23S ribosomal RNA". It matches the Rfam family "Bacterial large subunit ribosomal RNA", at positions 601 to 1190 of the family's 2925-position model. The record is from RNAcentral. Lineage: Bacteria; Pseudomonadati; Pseudomonadota; Gammaproteobacteria; Enterobacterales; Enterobacteriaceae.
GUACCUUUUGUAUAAUGGGUCAGCGACUUAUAUUCUGUAGCAAGGUUAACCGUAUAGGGGAGCCGUAGGGAAACCGAGUCUUAACCGGGCGUUAAGUUGCAGGGUAUAGACCCGAAACCCGGUGAUCUAGCCAUGGGCAGGUUGAAGGUUGGGUAACACUAACUGGAGGACCGAACCGACUAAUGUUGAAAAAUUAGCGGAUGACCUGUGGCUGGGGGUGAAAGGCCAAUCAAACCGGGAGAUAGCUGGUUCUCCCCGAAAGCUAUUUAGGUAGCGCCUCGUGAAUUCAUCUCCGGGGGUAGAGCACUGUUUCGGCUAGGGGGCCAUCCCGGCUUACCAACCCGAUGCAAACUGCGAAUACCGGAGAAUGUUAUCACGGGAGACACACGGCGGGUGCUAACGUCCGUCGUGAAGAGGGAAACAACCCAGACCGCCAGCUAAGGUCCCAAAGUCAUGGUUAAGUGGGAAACGAUGUGGGAAGGCCCAGACAGCCAGGAUGUUGGCUUAGAAGCAGCCAUCAUUUAAAGAAAGCGUAAUAGCUCACUGGUCGAGUCGGCCUGCGCGGAAGAUGUAACGGGGCUAAACCAU